GGGUCUAUAGUUUAAAGAAGAGAACGAGGGUUUUGUAAACUUUAAGUGUUGAAGAAGCUAGGCUCU
Molecule: transfer RNA, 66 nt
Filed under: Mactra antiquata
Lineage: Eukaryota; Metazoa; Mollusca; Bivalvia; Venerida; Mactridae
Description: tRNA-Thr
Source: RNAcentral